RNAcentral lists this long non-coding RNA (422 nucleotides) under Ananas comosus (pineapple). Its description in RNAcentral is "long non-coding RNA (ACOM_LNC009867)". The record is from RNAcentral. Lineage: Eukaryota; Viridiplantae; Streptophyta; Magnoliopsida; Poales; Bromeliaceae.
CCAAUUUAAUUUAUGAAGAUGCUCGACAACAACGAUAGUGAUUUGCCUAUUGAAACAUCUGCUGUAGCGAAAAAAUUACGUUUGUAAGUAUUAAUAUUUUUAAAAUAUUUUUUGUAUUUCUUAUUCCACCAUAUAUAUAUAUAUAUAUAUAUAUAUAUAUAUAUAUAUAUGAGAUAUUGUUCAUACUUACGCAGUUCGAAGAUUGGAGAAGGACCGAGCAAAGUUAACACCCGCAAGAAAUCAAGUAGAACCGAUAGGCCAUGAUCUAGGAACUGUUUUAUCAAUUAUAUUUGCAUUAUAAAAGACAUUAUAUCGUAUUAGAUAAUCUAUAUUAUAUAUUUAGUUAUCUUACAUAAUGUGAAUGUUAUAUAUAUCUGUAUGUUUCGUAAUAAAUAAAUAUAAUAAAAGUCAUAUUAUUAGCU